RNAcentral lists this ribosomal RNA (499 nucleotides) under uncultured bacterium. RNAcentral describes it as "bacterial SSU rRNA". It matches the Rfam family "Bacterial small subunit ribosomal RNA", at positions 903 to 1397 of the family's 1533-position model. The record is from RNAcentral.
AAAGGAAUUGACGGGGACCCGCACAAGCGGUGGAGCAUGUGGUUUAAUUCGACGCAACGCGAAGAACCUUACCAGGGCUUGACAUCCCCCGCUAGCCUGGGAAACCAGGUGUUCCUGCCUUCGGGCAGGACGGGGAGACAGGUGGUGCAUGGUUGUCGUCAGCUCGUGUCGUGAGAUGUUGGGUUAAGUCCCGCAACGAGCGCAACCCCUACUUUCAGUUGCCAUCAUUAAGUUGGGCACUUUGAAGGAACUGCCGGUGACAAACCGGAGGAAGGUGGGGACGACGUCAAAUCAUCAUGCCCUUUAUGUCCUGGGCUACACACGUGCUACAAUGGCCGGUACAGAGGGAAGCGAAGCGGUGACGCGGAGCGAAUCCCAAAAAGCCGGUCUCAGUUCGGAUUGCAGUCUGCAACUCGACUGCAUGAAGUCGGAAUCGCUAGUAAUCGCGAGUCAGCAUAUCGCGGUGAAUACGUUCCCGGGUCUUGCACACACCGCCCGU